GGUAGAGUUGGUCGCCCUUGGUCU
RNAcentral lists this non-coding RNA (24 nucleotides) under Arabidopsis thaliana (thale cress). Lineage: Eukaryota; Viridiplantae; Streptophyta; Magnoliopsida; Brassicales; Brassicaceae. The record is from RNAcentral.